Molecule: unclassified non-coding RNA, 290 nt
Filed under: uncultured Auriculariales
Lineage: Eukaryota; Fungi; Basidiomycota; Agaricomycetes; Auriculariales
Description: sequence contains ITS2
Rfam family: 5.8S ribosomal RNA (bases 1-52)
Source: RNAcentral
AACGCAUCUUGCGCUCCUUGGUAUUCCAUGGAGCAUGCCUGUUUGAGUGUCACGUAAAACCUCACCACCAGUGAUGUCAAAGUCUCUGGAGGUGGAAUUGGACCGUGCCGUAGUUGGCUCGUCCUGAAAUUCAUUAGCCUGCGCUUUGUUAGCGUGCUCGGCAUGGUGUGAUAAUUAUCUGCGCCGUCGCCUUAGGCCGCUUCUUUAAUGUGCUGCUUCUAAUCGUCCCUCGUGGACAGACACUAUAAAGCUUUGGCCUCAAAUCAGGUAGGACUACCCGCUGAACUUAA